Molecule: non-coding RNA, 60 nt
Filed under: Oxyrrhis marina
Lineage: Eukaryota; Dinophyceae; Oxyrrhinales; Oxyrrhinaceae
Source: RNAcentral
CAGCGCAGCGCCCCGACAGGCGCCAGGGAGGCAACCCAGCAGAGCCCGCACAGUCACCCC